RNAcentral lists this ribosomal RNA (501 nucleotides) under uncultured bacterium. RNAcentral's name for it is "partial 16S ribosomal RNA". It matches the Rfam family "Bacterial small subunit ribosomal RNA", at positions 30 to 523 of the family's 1533-position model. The record is from RNAcentral.
AUUGAACGCUGGCGGCAGGCUUAACACAUGCAAGUCGAGCGGGGGAGGUUGCUUCGGUAACUGACCUAGCGGCGGACGGGUGAGUAAUGCUUAGGAAUCUGCCUAUUAGUGGGGGACAACAUUCCGAAAGGGAUGCUAAUACCGCAUACGCCCUACGGGGGAAAGCAGGGGAUCUUCGGACCUUGCGCUAAUAGAUGAGCCUAAGUCGGAUUAGCUAGUUGGUGGGGUAAAGGCCUACCAAGGCGACGAUCUGUAGCGGGUCUGAGAGGAUGAUCCGCGAAGCUGGGAAUGAGACACGGCCCAAACUCCUACGGGAGGCAGCAGUGGGGAAUAUUGGACAAUGGGCGGAAGCCUGAUCUAGCCAUGCCGCGUGUGUGAAGAAGGCCUUUUGGUUGUAAAGCACUUUAAGCGAGGAGGAGGCUCUUAAGGUUAAUACCCUUGAUGAGUGGACGUUACUCGCAGAAUAAGCACCGGCUAACUCUGUGCCAGCCGCCGCGGUAA